GAUCUCAGGUUGUGUGUGUGUAUAAGCUCCAAUGGAGCAAGCUGAGAGUAUUAGAGUUUGUUUUAGGUGAUUUUAGAGAGAGAGUUUAUAAGAGUGUUUAUGUGUUUACUUAAAUCAGAAACAAGAGACUUUGAGAGAUUAAGAGUAUAAGAAAGGGAGAGAUUAAAGAGAAUCUGAUUCAAGAACACAUUUCAUUAUGAAGUGGAGAGGGGAAAUCCCCCAAACUCCCUUAAGGCUUGAAAUCGCCAAUUACAUCUCCUUUUAUAAGGUUUACAACUUUGCAUUCUCAUAAACCUAAAUCUAAUGGAUAGAAAUGACUGAAUAUAAAUGGAUGGCCAGGAUGGAGAGUUGAGAUUGCAAUCUGUGUGAGAUGUCUUGAUUGGAGGAGAGCUAGUUGAUGUCUGAUUGGUUUAUUCAAACUGGUCAAAGGGAAGGCUGUUCUCCCAUUGGCUCCUUAUAGGCUCCCAUGUAUCAAGCCUUCAUUCAGACCAUGUUCAUGGUCGUGGCUCCCUUUGGCUUUACAGCCAAAGCCAGCCUGUCCAUCCUCCAAAGUAACCAAUCAGCUCCAUCUUUGCUCUCAUUGGCCGCUUGCCUCCACAAAGGAUCUUCUUGAUUCCCUUUUGAUGCUUCACGACCAGACUUCUUUUUAUCAGCCCUAAGUAUGCACAAAGUCUCCCGGACAUGUUCUGAUCAUGCCCUAAGCUUGCACAUCUUGUCCCGGACUUUGCACCACCUCAAAACAUCUCAAAUGGCCAAGUUGUGUUUCCUCGGGUUGUCUCGGUCCGUACGGAUCCGUACAGGUCCGUACCAUCCGUACUGCCUCGCCCUAAGUAUGCACACUUGCCCAUUUGCUCCCAAACACUCUUCUAAGUCCCUCCUGGACUUGGCCCUAUCUUUGCACAGCCAUAUGAGCACUUCUGGACACCUUCAAACACUCCUAAAGUCUUCAUAGAUAAUCUCCGGAGGUCUUGCCCUAUUCUUGCUCAAGACUCAAUCUCAACUCAACCCUUCACCACUCCAUUUCUUUUCUUCAAGUCAACACUCCCCCUCAAGCUUGACUUUAGCUGAUCCUAAGUCAAGCUUGGAACCUUGAAGAACUUCCUCAUUAAAAACCUCACCAAGGAAAACCCUUUGGGACAAAACCUUGAUGAGGGAAAAAGAGUAAAGCCUCCAAGGCCUAGGGAUUGGCCAGUGAGUCUUUGUGCCUUACCAACAAUGUAAGGGACACAAAGACUCUGGAUCUCGGCCCCUUCUUGUGAUGCAAGGUAGAUCACAUCUUCUCUUGCUCAUCACUCUUCAUCUUGUAAUAGUUGAGCCUUGGCUGCUUCUUCUUCUAGAGUUUCCACCUUGUUCUAAAGCUUCAUGAUCGGAUGCCUCAGUCUAUAGUACCAAGGCUGCUCUGCUCUGGCCGCCUUGGAGAUUGCUUCACCAUCCUCCAUCUUGCUUCACAAACCGGUAUGCUCCUCUUCUUGAAUAACCGCCAAGUGCUCUCAUCAAGAAGCCUUCUCAACACUCCCCCUCAAGCUUGACCAUGUGGAACAAGUCAAGCUUGGAAGGAGAGCUUCUUGAUUCUCUACAUUUGCUCACUGCCGUCCACCUUCUUGAACCGGCACCUUUGUGAUCAUUUGAAGUCUUCUCAACACUCCCCCUCAAGCUUGACCAUGUGGAACAAGUCAAGCUUGGGAGAGCAGCUUCAUGAUCACACCAUCAGACCCUUGCAGCACCUUCUGAACUCGCCAUCUCCAUGGAAUGCUUGUGGAACCUUCAGCUCCCUCUUCAGACUGCUCACACUAGAAGCCGCCUUGAUAGAGUAGCUCCAUCAUCUUCACACAGCCGAGAGUGCUCUGAACACUCCCUUGUUCUUCCCACAGCCGGAUGACUCCUUUUCCAUCAGUUGCUUGCCAUGGUCUUCCUUCUUUGCUCACUUAACUCCCCUCCUCAAGCUUGGAUAGAAUGAGGGUCCAAGCUUGGAAGUGAGCAGCCGUGAGUCUUCACUAACCAGUGGCACAUCACCACUUCAGUAACCGCUCUCCAUUGCUCAUGACAAUGGGCAAUGCCUUCCUCUUUCUCUUGGAUUGGUGAUGAACUAAGAACACUUCUUGUAUACCUGAAACACCACUCAAACUCCAGAGAAGAUUAGACAUAGGUGCAUUGGGUCAGUCCUUGAUUCCACAUCAAGCUUGAACACCAAUGUCUCACUAAAGCAAUGCAAGAUCAAACAAGACACCCAAGUUUCAAAUCAUUGCAAGCUUAGCUCUCUAAGUUCUAGUAUGAUCCUACAGAUUCAUUACAAGACACUUAGGCAAUUUUAACUUCUGCCUUAACUGCAUCUUAGACUUGAAUCCAAGUGCAUCAACCUAAGGCAGCAACAACACUCUAAGCUUUAUUAUACUACUCGGUUUCAAUCAAUGAAAGUAAACAGGAUCAGACUCAUCUAGCAUCCUAUACAAUCAUUAUAGAACCGAGGCAAGCUUUUCAACUCUCAAUCACCAUUCACAACUCUCUAGUAUCUUGGGACAGAUUCUAAACAUUUCAUAUCUAGCAAUCUUUAAACAUCCACAAGUUUUCAAUCACAACACAACCUGUCAAUAUACUCCAGCUUUAUACAAAAGGAAAGAACUUUCUUACAGCCAAGGACCUUUGUAUAGAUCCUUGAUUCCAUUGGACAGAUUCUGAGUUGUUAGUGUGCACUCCAACGCCUCCAUCUUCCAUGGACCUUUCCUUUUGAACCACCAUGUCUUAGCUCCCACCUUUCUCCAUGUUGUACACGCCACACCAGUACAAGCAGCAAGCUUUCUUCUUGAGAAACUUCUUCUUGGACUUUGAAUAGCAAGAACCCGGAACUGGCUUUGUUAGAGAGGGUAGCUAAUCCGCUCCAUUGCCUUUGUUUCCUUGGAUCUUCUUUCUUCAAGGGCGACAUGGGAUGAUGAGGAACAGCAGCAGACAGCUUCUGGACUCCAGGAUGAACACGCCUGCCUCUUGAGGUGUUGAACAGCCGGAUAGAACAGACAGCUUCUUCUUGCUUCAAACGACAUGGGGAGAGCUUGGAGCUUCAGCGGAAGAAAGAACCAAGUUCACAUGAACCUGGCUCUGAUACCAUAUGAGAUUUUCAGAGAUCUCAGGUUGUGUGUGUGUAUAAGCUCCAAUGGAGCAAGCUGAGAGUAUUAGAGUUUGUUUUAGGUGAUUUUAGAGAGAGAGUUUAUAAGAGUGUUUAUGUGUUUACUUAAAUCAGAAACAAGAGACUUUGAGAGAUUAAGAGUAUAAGAAAGGGAGAGAUUAAAGAGAAUCUGAUUCAAGAACACAUUUCAUUAUGAAGUGGAGAGGGGAAAUCCCCCAAACUCCCUUAAGGCUUGAAAUCGCCAAUUACAUCUCCUUUUAUAAGGUUUACAACUUUGCAUUCUCAUAAACCUAAAUCUAAUGGAUAGAAAUGACUGAAUAUAAAUGGAUGGCCAGGAUGGAGAGUUGAGAUUGCAAUCUGUGUGAGAUGUCUUGAUUGGAGGAGAGCUAGUUGAUGUCUGAUUGGUUUAUUCAAACUGGUCAAAGGGAAGGCUGUUCUCCCAUUGGCUCCUUAUAGGCUCCCAUGUAUCAAGCCUUCAUUCAGACCAUGUUCAUGGUCGUGGCUCCCUUUGGCUUUACAGCCAAAGCCAGCCUGUCCAUCCUCCAAAGUAACCAAUCAGCUCCAUCUUUGCUCUCAUUGGCCGCUUGCCUCCACAAAGGAUCUUCUUGAUUCCCUUUUGAUGCUUCACGACCAGACUUCUUUUUAUCAGCCCUAAGUAUGCACAAAGUCUCCCGGACAUGUUCUGAUCAUGCCCUAAGCUUGCACAUCUUGUCCCGGACUUUGCACCACCUCAAAACAUCUCAAAUGGCCAAGUUGUGUUUCCUCGGGUUGUCUCGGUCCGUACGGAUCCGUACAGGUCCGUACCAUCCGUACUGCCUCGCCCUAAGUAUGCACACUUGCCCAUUUGCUCCCAAACACUCUUCUAAGUCCCUCCUGGACUUGGCCCUAUCUUUGCACAGCCAUAUGAGCACUUCUGGACACCUUCAAACACUCCUAAAGUCUUCAUAGAUAAUCUCCGGAGGUCUUGCCCUAUUCUUGCUCAAGACUCAAUCUCAACUCAACCCUUCACCACUCCAUUUCUUUUCUUCAAGUCAAC
This 4154-nucleotide long non-coding RNA is filed under the name Brassica rapa (field mustard). Its description in RNAcentral is "long non-coding RNA (BRAP_LNC008034)". The record is from RNAcentral. Lineage: Eukaryota; Viridiplantae; Streptophyta; Magnoliopsida; Brassicales; Brassicaceae.